RNAcentral lists this long non-coding RNA (357 nucleotides) under Mytilus galloprovincialis (Mediterranean mussel). Lineage: Eukaryota; Metazoa; Mollusca; Bivalvia; Mytilida; Mytilidae. The record is from RNAcentral.
AUGAGAACACAUACAGGAGAUAAAUCUUAUUUCUUGAUGUUGGUGGUAAAAGUUUUAGUUAUCUUUAGAAAUAUGCAGACACACAUAACGUCAUAAGAACACAUAUAGGAGAUAAAUCUUAUUUCUUGAUGUUGGUAAAAGUUUUAGUUAUCUUAGAAAUGAACAGAGACACAUGAGAACACAUAUAUGAGAUACAUUUUAUGCAUGUGGUAAAAGUUUUAAUCGGCUUUGCAAUUUACAAAAAACACACCACAAGACAUGAAUACAUGGUAUACCGCCCGUAAAACCACAGGAAUGUAAUGCAUGUGUUGCAGAAUUGAUUGGAAUUAUGGUGACUGAAUAAACUUUAGAAUACAC